GAUGAACGCUGGCGGCGUGCUUAACACAUGCAAGUCGAACGGAAAGGCCAGUGCUUGCACUGGUGCUCGAGUGGCGAACGGGUGAGUAACACGUGGGUGAUCUGCCCUGCACUUUGGGAUAAGCCUGGGAAACUGGGUCUAAUACCAGAUAGGACCAUGCUUUGGAUGGUGUGGUGGAAAGUUUUUUCGGUGUGGGAUGAGCUUGCGGCCUAUCAGCUUGUUGGUGGGGUAAUGGCCUACCAAGGCGUCGACGGGUAGCCGGCCUGAGAGGGUGUACGGCAACAUUGGGACUGAGAUACGGCCCAGACUCCUACGGGAGGCAGCAGGGGGGAAUAUUGCACAAUGGGCGCAAGCCUGAUGCAGCGACGCCGCGUGGGGGAUGACGGCCUUCGGGUUGUAAACUCCUUUCGCAACUGACGAAGCUUUUUGUGACGGUAGGUUGAGAAGAAGCACCGGCUAACUACGUG
RNAcentral lists this ribosomal RNA (467 nucleotides) under uncultured bacterium. Its description in RNAcentral is "partial 16S ribosomal RNA". It matches the Rfam family "Bacterial small subunit ribosomal RNA", at positions 28 to 507 of the family's 1533-position model. The record is from RNAcentral.